ACACAGGUGGUCAGGUAGAGAAUACCAAGGCGCUUGAGAGAACUCGGGUGAAGGAACUAGGCAAAAUGGUGCCGUAACUUCGGGAGAAGGCACGCUGAUACGUAGGUGAAGUCCCUCGCGGAUGGAGCUGAAAUCAGUCGAAGAUACCAGCUGGCUGCAACUGUUUAUUAAAAACACAGCACUGUGCAAACACGAAAGUGGACGUAUACGGUGUGACGCCUGCCCGGUGCCGGAAGGUUAAUUGAUGGGGUCAGCGCAAGCGAAGCUCUUGAUCGAAGCCCCGGUAAACGGCGGCCGUAACUAUAACGGUCCUAAGGUAGCGAAAUUCCUUGUCGGGUAAGUUCCGACCUGCACGAAUGGCGUAAUGAUGGCCAGGCUGUCUCCACCCGAGACUCAGUGAAAUUGAACUCGCUGUGAAGAUGCAGUGUACCCGCGGCAAGACGGAAAGACCCCGUGAACCUUUACUAUAGCUUGACACUGAACAUUGAGCCUUGAUGUGUAGGAUAGGUGGGAGGCUUUGAAGUGUGGACGCCAGUCUGCAUGGAGCCGACCUUGAAAUACCACCCUUUAAUGUUUGAUGUUCUAACGUUGACCCGUAAUCCGGGUUGCGGACAGUGUCUGGUGGGUAGUUUGACUGGGGCGGUCUCCUCCUAAAGAGUAACGGAGGAGCACGAAGGUUGGCUAAUCCUGGUCGGACAUCAGGAGGUUAGUGCAAUGGCAUAAGCCAGCUUGACUGCGAGCGUGACGGCGCGAGCAGGUGCGAAAGCAGGUCAUAGUGAUCCGGUGGUUCUGAAUGGAAGGGCCAUCGCUCAACGGAUAAAAGGUACUCCGGGGAUAACAGGCUGAUACCGCCCAAGAGUUCAUAUCGACGGCGGUGUUUGGCACCUCGAUGUCGGCUCAUCACAUCCUGGGGCUGAAGUAGGUCCCAAGGGUAUGGCUGUUCGCCAUUUAAAGUGGUACGCGAGCUGGGUUUAGAACGUCGUGAGACAGUUCGGUCCCUAUCUGCCGUGGGCGCUGGAGAACUGAGGGGGGCUGCUCCUAGUACGAGAGGACCGGAGUGGACGCAUCACUGGUGUUCGGGUUGUCAUGCCAAUGGCACUGCCCGGUAGCUAAAUGCGGAAGAGAUAAGUGCUGAAAGCAUCUAAGCACGAAACUUGCCCCGAGAUGAGUUCUCCCUGACUCCUUGAGAGUCCUGAAGGAACGUUGAAGACGACGACGUUGAUAGGCCGGAUGUGUAAGCGCAGCGAUGCGUUGAGCUAACCGGUACUAAUGAACCGUGAGGCUUAACCUU
This 1291-nucleotide ribosomal RNA is filed under the name Escherichia coli. RNAcentral's name for it is "partial 23S ribosomal RNA". It matches the Rfam family "Bacterial large subunit ribosomal RNA", at positions 1657 to 2925 of the family's 2925-position model. Lineage: Bacteria; Pseudomonadati; Pseudomonadota; Gammaproteobacteria; Enterobacterales; Enterobacteriaceae. The record is from RNAcentral.